This 425-nucleotide ribosomal RNA is filed under the name uncultured fungus. RNAcentral's name for it is "eukaryotic LSU rRNA". It matches the Rfam family "Eukaryotic large subunit ribosomal RNA", at positions 1 to 422 of the family's 3401-position model. Lineage: Eukaryota; Fungi. The record is from RNAcentral.
GACCUCGGAUCAGGUAGGGAUACCCGCUGAACUUAAGCAUAUCAAUAAGCGGAGGAAAAGAAACCAACAGGGAUUACCUCAGUAACGGCGAGUGAAGCGGUAACAGCUCAAAUUUGAAAGCUAGCUCUUUUAGGGUUCGCAUUGUAAUUUGUAAGAAGAUGCUUCGGGUGUGGCCCCGGUCUAAGUUCCUUGGAACAGGACGUCAUAGAGGGUGAGAAUCCCGUAUGUGACUGGGUGCUUUCGCUCAUGUGAAGCUCUUUCGACGAGUCGAGUUGUUUGGGAAUGCAGCUCAAAAUGGGUGGUAAAUUUCAUCUAAAGCUAAAUAUUGGCCAGAGACCGAUAGCGCACAAGUAGAGUGAUCGAAAGAUGAAAAGCACUUUGGAAAGAGAGUUAAACAGUACGUGAAAUUGUUGAAAGGGAAGCGC